CCUACGGGUGGCAGCAGUGGGGGAUAUUGCUCAAUGGGGGGAACCCUGAUGCAGCGACGCCGCGUGGGUGAAGAAGCGCCUCGGCGCGUAAAGUCCUGUCAGCAGGGAAGAAAAUGACGGUAUCUGAAGAAUAAGCCCCGGCUAACUCCGUGCCAGCAGCCGCGGUAAUACGGAGGGGGUAAGCGUUACCCGGAUUUACUGGGUGUAAAGGGGGCGCAGACGGCGUAGCAAGCCAGCUGUGAAAUCCCAGGGCCUAACCCUAGGACUGCAUUUGAAACUGUGAUUCUGGAGUGUGGGAGGGGCAGGCGGAAUGCCUGGUGUAGGGGUGAAAUGCGUAGAGAUCAGGAGGAACACCGGUGGCGAAGGCGGCCUGCUGGA
RNAcentral lists this ribosomal RNA (378 nucleotides) under uncultured bacterium. RNAcentral's name for it is "partial 16S ribosomal RNA". It matches the Rfam family "Bacterial small subunit ribosomal RNA", at positions 338 to 733 of the family's 1533-position model. The record is from RNAcentral.